This 279-nucleotide ribosomal RNA is filed under the name uncultured bacterium. Its description in RNAcentral is "partial 16S ribosomal RNA". It matches the Rfam family "Bacterial small subunit ribosomal RNA", at positions 506 to 784 of the family's 1533-position model. The record is from RNAcentral.
UGCCAGCCGCCGCGGUAAUAAGAAGGGGGCUAGCGUUGUUCGGAAUUACUGGGCGUAAAGCGCACGUAGGCGGAUCGUUAAGUGAGGGGUGAAAUCCCAGGGCUCAACCCUGGAACUGCCUUUCAUACUGGUAGUCUUGAGGUCGAGAGAGGUGAGUGGAAUUCCGAGUGUAGAGGUGAAAUUCGUAGAUAUUCGGAGGAACACCAGUGGCGAAGGCGGCUCACUGGCUCGAUACUGACGCUGAGGUACGAAAGUGUGGGGAGCAAACAGGAUUAGAUA